CUAACAGAUAUCCAUGAGAGAGCUGCUUAUAGCUAUUCGAUCAUUUAAUACUAACAACAAGCUCUCUCCUUUCUCUUUCUCUCCCUCUAUCUCUCUCUCUCUCUCUCUCUCUCUCUCUCCCCAAUGAGAUCUCUGUCUUUCUCUUUCAAAAAUGAAAACAGUCACUUUCUUCAACCUUGUCUCUCUUUUUCUUUACCCUUCAAAUUUGGAGGUCUACAGCUUCUUCUGUCAGUGCAAUCCUUUUCAAACUUAUUUGCUAUAGAUCUGCGUGUGUAUAUAUAAAACUAUUAUUGCAUUAUUUAGGGUAUAAAUAUGAAAAUCUUUUAUUAUUAAAAACAAAAUUAUCUUUUGUUUUGUGCUUAGUGAGGAUCAGUUAAGAGAGCUUUCUUCAGUCCACUCAUGGGUGGCAAUAGGAUUUAAUUAGCUGCCGACUCAUUCAUCCAAAUACUGAGUUAAGGACGAGCUGAUUAAGUUACCCAGUAAAUGAGUGAAUGAUGCGGGAGACAAAUUGAAUCUUAAGCUUCCUGUACUUGGACUGAAGGGAGCUCCCUUUUUCCUUCUUUAAUCAUAAAUCUUGUUUAGGUUACAAUUUAAUACUAUUUCUUAUGGUUGGCGAUGCUUCUGUUCAAUAUAAAAGUAUAACUAUAAAGUACUUUUGAUGCUCAUGAGAUAAUGCUAUAGCUUAAGAACCUUCAUGUACUUAUCCAUUCUGUUUAUGAGUAAUUCUUUAUCAUUAUCUUGUUUGCUGCUUUUGAUCUCUGUUAAGGUGUGCUUGCCGUUAUUCUUUUUCUUUUUUCUGAUAAUUUCUUUUUGGGUUAAAUUUCCAUUGUUGUUUCUCUCUUGAUAUCUUGCCUUCAAAGAACUAGGGUUAAGGAAUGUUAUGGUAAUCCCUUUUUAAUAAUAUUAAUAAUUUUGUUUGAGUUAGAUCAGCUAAUGAGGGCUUUUAGGGUUUUGUUUAUGAAGGUGCAGUUGUUAGUUGUAAAAGCUUAAUAAUGCUUAUAGCAUUAAAAUUAGGCAACCGCAUGAUGGAGAGAAGAAAGAAGCUCCUCGACAAUAGCUUCUUGUUCUUGGGUCUUGCUGUUCUGCAACAAGUUCCCAGACGGGCUAGACCUGUCUCCUAGUGGUUCAAUUACCCAAAUAUCCUCAAUACAAUACUGGUUUCUGUUCAAGAGUGGCAAAAUGUGUCACCACCAAAUCAUCAUGGAAGCUGGAAGACUAGAGAAAAGGCAGAUCAUGAGGACUUUUAAUAUUUUGUCUUUUAUCUUUCUUUCUAUUCAUUUCUCUAAUGUGAUUUUCUUGAACCACCAAGACCAGAUGCUCAUGUUUUGUUAUUUUCUAACUUUAUAUCUUGAUUUAUGAUAGUGGAUAGCACAAGAAAAAGGUACAUUACUUAGUUUGUUUUUUGUAUUCUUUGCUUAGAUUUGGUUCCCUUUAAGCAGAAAUCCACUUUGGAAGAUCCUUUGUUUGUGAGAAAAUAGUGGAGAGUACACAUAAUUUGUAAUUUCAACAUUUUCAGUAAUAAUAUUUUCGUUCAACAAUAGAAAA
Long non-coding RNA from Jatropha curcas, 1545 nucleotides. RefSeq lists it as uncharacterized. The record is from RefSeq and is a predicted model, not a curated record. NCBI's taxonomy places the organism in Eukaryota, Viridiplantae, Streptophyta, Magnoliopsida, Malpighiales, Euphorbiaceae.